CCUACGGGAGGCUGCAGUGGGGAAUAUUGCGCAAUGGGCGAAAGCCUGACGCAGCGACGCCGCGUGAGGGAUGAAGGUCUUCGGAUCGUAAACCUCUGUCAGCAGGGAAGAACGGUCACUGUGCUAAUCAGCAGUGAAUUGACGGUACCUGCAAAGGAAGCACCGGCUAACUCCGUGCCAGCAGCCGCGGUAAUACGGAGGGUGCGAGCGUUAAUCGGAAUUACUGGGCGUAAAGCGCUCGUAGGCGGUAUGUCAAGUCAAGGGGGAAAUCCCCGCGCUCAACGUGGGAACUGCCUUGAAACUGGCAAACUGGAGUUUGUGAGAGGAUAGUGGAAUGCCAGGUGUAGGAGUGAAAUCCGUAGAUAUCUGGAGGAACAUCAGUUGCGAAGGCGACUAUCUGGCACAUAACUGACGCUGAGGAGCGAAAGCGUGGGUAGCAAACAGGAUUAGAUACCCGAGUAGUC
Molecule: ribosomal RNA, 464 nt
Filed under: uncultured bacterium
Lineage: Bacteria
Description: partial 16S ribosomal RNA
Rfam family: Bacterial small subunit ribosomal RNA
Source: RNAcentral